RNAcentral lists this ribosomal RNA (839 nucleotides) under uncultured archaeon. Its description in RNAcentral is "bacterial SSU rRNA". It matches the Rfam family "Archaeal small subunit ribosomal RNA", at positions 1 to 844 of the family's 1478-position model. The record is from RNAcentral.
UUCCGGUUGAUCCUGCCGGACCUGACUGCUAUCGGAUUGAUACUAAGCCAUGCGAGUCAUUGUAGCAAUACAAGGCAGACGGCUCAGUAACGCGUAGUCAACCUACCCUAUGGACGGGAAUAACCUCGGGAAACUGAGUAUAAUGCCCGAUAGAACACUAUACCUGGAAUGGUUUGUGUUUCAAAUGAUUUAUUGCCGUAGGAUGGGACUGCGGCCUAUCAGUUUGUUGGUGAGGUAAUGGCCCACCAAGACUAUUACAGGUAUUCGGGUCUGCUGAGAGGAGUGGCCCGGAGAUGGGUACUGAGACACGGACCCAGGCCCUAUGGGGCGCAGCAGGCGAGAAAACUUUGCAAUGUGCGAAAGCACGACAAGGUUAAUCCGAGUGGUUUGUGCUAAACGAACCUUUUGUUAGUCCUAGAAMCACUAACGAAUAAGGGGUGGGCAAGUUCUGGUGUCAGCCGCCGCGGUAAAACCAGCACCUCAAGUGGUCAGGAUGAUUAUUGGGCCUAAAGCAUNCCGUAGCCGGCUCAGUAAGUUUUCGGUUAAAUCUGUACGCUCAACGUACAGGCUGCCGGGAAUACUGCAGAGCUAGGGAGUGGGAGUGGUAGACGGUACUCGGGAGGAAGUGGUAAAAUGGUUUGAUCUUUCGAUGACCACCUGUGGCGAAGGCGGUCUACCAGAACACGUCCGACGGUGAGGGAUGAAAGCUGGGGGAGCAAACCGGAUUAGAUACCCGGGUAGUCCCAGCUGUAAACUAUGCAAACUCAGUGAUGCAUUGACUUGUGGUCAAUGCAGUGUUGCAGGGAAGCCGUUAAGUUUGCCGCCUGGGAAGUCGUCGC